This is a long non-coding RNA of Nothoprocta perdicaria, 255 nucleotides long. RefSeq lists it as uncharacterized. The record is from RefSeq and is a predicted model, not a curated record. NCBI's taxonomy places the organism in Eukaryota, Metazoa, Chordata, Aves, Tinamiformes, Tinamidae. The transcript has 2 exons.
AGAUAGAAUGGAAUAUGAAAGAAGACAAAAGGAGAAACAACAUGAAUGUACUGGAUGUUCAUAGUUGAACAAACGGUGUGAGAAGUAACAGGAUCAUUCAUUGUGUUUUGCAAAUAAAUAAGCAUAACACAAGUACAAAGUAUCUGAAUAUUUAUUCAUACAUUUCAUACAACUAUGGAAUAAACAGUAAAAACUGUGAAAAGAGCUUGUGAGGCUACCUGCUUGCCAUGUUUAUUUCGGUCUUAAAAGUCUUCU